UGGAAGAUUGAGAGGGGCUGCUCCUAGUACGAGAGGACCGGAGUGGACGCAUCACUGGUGUUCGGGUUGUCAUGCCAAUGGCAUUGCCCGGUAGCUAAAUGCGGAAAAGAUAAGCGCUGAAAGCAUCUAAGCGCGAAACUUGCCUCGAGAUGAGUCUUCCCUGAGACCUUGAGUCUCCUAAAGGAACGUUUAAGACUAAGACGUUGAUAGGCUGGGUGUGUAAGCGUAGCGAUACGUUGAGCUAACCAGUACUAAUGAUCCGUGAGGCUUAACCUU
This 276-nucleotide ribosomal RNA is filed under the name Escherichia coli. Its description in RNAcentral is "partial 23S ribosomal RNA". It matches the Rfam family "Bacterial large subunit ribosomal RNA", at positions 2655 to 2925 of the family's 2925-position model. The record is from RNAcentral. RNAcentral also lists the same sequence under 1 other name. Lineage: Bacteria; Pseudomonadati; Pseudomonadota; Gammaproteobacteria; Enterobacterales; Enterobacteriaceae.